This 404-nucleotide ribosomal RNA is filed under the name uncultured bacterium. RNAcentral's name for it is "partial 16S ribosomal RNA". It matches the Rfam family "Bacterial small subunit ribosomal RNA", at positions 28 to 526 of the family's 1533-position model. The record is from RNAcentral.
GACGAACGCUGGCGGCGUGCCUAAUACAUGCAAGUCGAACGCAGUGGGGACGGUUGAGUAACACGUGUGUAACCUGCCCAUCAGAGGGGAUAAGACUUGGAAACAGGUGCUAAACCGAUAGCGAUGGAUGAAACCGCGGUGCAUUAGCUAGUUGGUGAGGUACCGGCUCACCAAGGCCACGAUGCAUAGCCGACCUGAGAGGGUGAGCGGCCACACUGGGACUGAGACACGGCCCAGACUCCUACGGGAGGCAGCAGUAGGGAAUCUUCGGCAAUGGACGAAAGUCUGAUCGAGCAACGCCGCGUGUGUGAAGAAGGUUUUCGGAUCGUAAAACACUGUUGUUAGAGAAGCGUUAUCUAACGAGAAAGCCACGGCUAACUACGUGCCAGCCGCCGCGGUAAUUC